GAUGAAGAACGCAGCGAAAUGCGAUAAGUAAUGUGAAUUGCAGAAUUCAGUGAAUCAUCGAAUCUUUGAACGCACAUUGCGCCCGCCAGUAUUCUGGCGGGCAUGCCUGUUCGUGCGUCAUUACAACCCUCAGGCCCCCGGGCCUGGCGUUGGGGAUCGGCGAGGCGCCCCCCGCGGGCACGCGCCGUCCCCCAAAUACAGUGGCGGUCCCGCCGCAGCUUCCAUUGCGUAGUAGCUAACACCUCGCAACUGGAGAGCGGCGCGGCCAUGCCGUAAAACACCCAACUUCUGAAUGUUGACCUCGAAUCAGGUAGGAAUACCCGCUGAACUUAAGCAUAUCAAUAAGCGGAGGA
RNAcentral lists this unclassified non-coding RNA (353 nucleotides) under soil metagenome. RNAcentral's name for it is "partial contains 5.8S ribosomal RNA, internal transcribed spacer 2, and large subunit ribosomal RNA". The stretch from base 1 to 120 matches the Rfam family "5.8S ribosomal RNA", at positions 35 to 154 of the family's 154-position model. The record is from RNAcentral.